This 795-nucleotide ribosomal RNA is filed under the name Atypoides hadros. Its description in RNAcentral is "eukaryotic LSU rRNA". It matches the Rfam family "Eukaryotic large subunit ribosomal RNA", at positions 517 to 885 of the family's 3401-position model. Lineage: Eukaryota; Metazoa; Arthropoda; Arachnida; Araneae; Antrodiaetidae. The record is from RNAcentral.
CUCGAAAUCCUCUCGCGAGGGGAUUCAGUCCGGCGUCUCGUUUCGCUCCUGGUUAACCGAGGACGUUCUCUUUAUUGGGAGUGCUUCGGGGGCGGGAGAGGCCGAAAUGGCGCCGGACGCAUUUCCUCUCGCAUUAUAAGGACGCCGCAGCCGGUUGGGUAGCUGCGCGUGUCGGCCACGAGGACGGGCAACGAAAGGUGACCGGUGGACUCGUCUCGUAAAAAAGACGAAGUCCGCCGGUUUUUUUCCGCCCGUCCGUGGCGCGACACCCGACCGAGGUCUAGGUCACCUCCCAGGAGGUGACCGUAGCCAUUUAUUUCUCCAAAGUGAGCAGCGGGCCUCCGGACAGGCGAGUUUCCGCGCGGUCGCUUUCAGUCUCAUGCACUGGGCGGCCCGUUGGGUAAAACGGUUCGGUGAAAUAAUCCGUUCCGUGACCUCCCGUCCGGAAGUUCCCGCCUAUAAGUCAGAAGGCUGGCGGCGAGUAGGUCGGUCACCCACCCGACCCGUCUUGAAACACGGACCAAGGAGUCUAACAUGUGCGCAAGUCGCCGGGUCUUGUUCAGGCCCGAAGGCGCAAUGAAAGUGAGUUGGAUCUUGAUUUUUAAUCGAGGCUCGGUUGGGACUCGCGCUGGCGAAAUUUAAAGUGGCACGCGACGAAGCACCAACGACCCGCCCACACCUUAUUCAGUUAAGGAUGGACGGAGUCCGAGCGCACACGUUGGGACCCGAAAGAUGGUGAACUAUGCCCGGGCAGGACGAAGCCAGAGGAAACUCUGGUGGAGGUCCGCAGCGGUU